RNAcentral lists this ribosomal RNA (428 nucleotides) under uncultured bacterium. RNAcentral describes it as "bacterial SSU rRNA". It matches the Rfam family "Bacterial small subunit ribosomal RNA", at positions 355 to 774 of the family's 1533-position model. The record is from RNAcentral.
UGAGGAAUAUUGCGCAAUGGGGGAAACCCUGACGCAGCAACGCCGCGUGGGUGAAGAAGGCCUUCGGGUUGUAAAGCCCUGUCAGGUGGGAAGAACCCUUGGGUGUCAAAUAGGCGCUCAAUCUGACGGUACCACCAGAGGAAGCACCGGCUAACUCCGUGCCAGCAGCCGCGGUAAGACGGAGGGUGCAAGCGUUGUUCGGAAUCACUGGGCGUAAAGCGCGUGUAGGCGGUUCGAUAAGUCGGAUGUGAAAGCCCGAGGCUCAACCUCGGAAGUGCAUUCGAAACUGUCGGGCUAGAGUACGGGAGAGGGAAGUGGAAUUCCUGGUGUAGAGGUGAAAUUCGUAGAUAUCAGGAGGAACACCGGUGGCGAAGGCGGCUUCCUGGACCGAUACUGACGCUGAGACGCGAAAGCGUGGGGAGCAAACA